This 253-nucleotide ribosomal RNA is filed under the name uncultured bacterium. Its description in RNAcentral is "partial 16S ribosomal RNA". It matches the Rfam family "Bacterial small subunit ribosomal RNA", at positions 524 to 776 of the family's 1533-position model. The record is from RNAcentral.
GACAGAGGUCCCGAGCGUUAGGCGGAAUCACUGGGCUUAAAGCGUGUGUAGGCGGGCCCGUAAGUGUCUUGUGAAAUCCCACGGCUCAACCGUGGAACUGCUGGGCAUACUGCGGGUCUUGGGCCAACUAGGGGCAGCCGGAACAAGCGGUGGAGCGGUGAAAUGCGUAGAUAUCGCUUGGAACGCCGAAGGUGAAAACAGGCUGCUGGGGUUGCGCCGACGCUGAGACACGAAAGCCAGGGGAGCAAACGGG